RNAcentral lists this ribosomal RNA (452 nucleotides) under uncultured bacterium. RNAcentral describes it as "bacterial SSU rRNA". It matches the Rfam family "Bacterial small subunit ribosomal RNA", at positions 328 to 793 of the family's 1533-position model. The record is from RNAcentral.
CUCUGUGACUCCUACGGGAGGCAGCAGUGGGGGAAUAUUGUCACAAUGGGCGCAAGCCUGAUGCAGCAACGCCGUGUGAGUGAAGAAGGUUUUCGGAUCGUAAAACUCUGUCCUAAGGGAAGAAACAAAUGACGGUACCUUAGGAGGAAGCCCCGGCUAACUACGUGCCAGCAGCCGCGGUAAUACGUAGGGGGCAAGCGUUAUCCGGAAUCACUGGGCGUAAAGGGUGCGUAGGCGGCUUAGCAAGCCAGGGGUGAAAGGCAUUGGCUCAACCAAUGUAAGCCUUUGGAACUGUUAAGCUUGAGUGCAGGAGAGGUAAGUGGAAUUCCUAGUGUAGAGGUGAAAUUCGUAGAUAUUAGGAGGAACACCAGUGGCGAAGGCGACUUACUGGACUGUAACUGACGCUGAUGCACGAAAGCGUGGGUAGCGAACAGGAUUAGAUACCCUGGUAG